RNAcentral lists this ribosomal RNA (253 nucleotides) under uncultured bacterium. RNAcentral describes it as "partial 16S ribosomal RNA". It matches the Rfam family "Bacterial small subunit ribosomal RNA", at positions 524 to 776 of the family's 1533-position model. The record is from RNAcentral.
UACGUAGGGACCAAGCGUUGUUCGGAUUUACUGGGCGUAAAGGGCGCGUAGGCGGCCUAGCAAGUCACUUGUGAAAUCUCCGGGCUUAACCCGGAAACUGCCAUUGAUACUAUCUGUCUUGAAUACCGUGGAGGUGAGCGGAAUAUGUCAUGUAGCGGUGAAAUGCUUAGAUAUGACACAGAACACCGAUUGCGUAGGCAGCUCGCUAAACUCCUACUGACGCUGAGGCACGAAAGCAUGGGGAUCAAACAGG